Neopelma chrysocephalum (saffron-crested tyrant-manakin) is the source of this 652-nucleotide long non-coding RNA. RefSeq lists it as uncharacterized. The record is from RefSeq and is a predicted model, not a curated record. The transcript has 4 exons. NCBI's taxonomy places the organism in Eukaryota, Metazoa, Chordata, Aves, Passeriformes, Pipridae.
UUCACAAUGCAAGAAGCUUCUCAGAGGAUUGCAUCAUUUCUAUUAUUUAAGAACUUGGGGUGUCAAGAGCGUAGCCCGAUUCCAGGAGCUUAAUCUUCAUGUUCUAGUAUGUUCAGGAAUUGUCUUUCUGUUUUCUGACUUAGUGGUCAGGACUGGAGACUGUGGGAAAUGCCUAUAUUAUAAAAAACUCUAAACCUGUUGAUCAGAUCUCUUUUUGUCUCCUUCCUCUGAUUGGAUUAUUUCUUUUUCAGGAGCAAACUUGAUAGAAAUGGUGAAGUCGCCUAAGUUUGGAUUUUUAUGGAAUGGAGCAAACCUACAAAAAUCCCUGGGAUUGAGCAGGUUCAGGAAACCAGAGUGGUCACGAUUUUUAAAUAUCAAAUAACUCCGAAGAGACAGUUUUAGGUGGCGUUUUGUGUGUGGAUUCAUGGCCCAUGUCAAACAUACAGCAGCUGCACAUGGUCCAAUGUGCUCUGCAGUCCGUGCCCGGCAGCCGGUUCAUCUGGCAGUGCAGAACACACAGUUCAAAAUGCAGGGUCUGGAAUCAGCCUCAGGGCAAUUUCCUGAAGGUGACUGAGAAAAUCAAGCCCAUUCAUGGUAGGUCUGAAUUUAUUACUCACGGAUUUUCACCUCCUCUAGAAAAAAAAAAAGAGAG